GGAAGAUUCGAACCUGCCGCAGGUUCGGGUCUCACGUAGUGAGACAACGGAGCCGCUUGCGGCGACGGCCCGAAGGGCGAGCAAAGCGAGUCAUCCUGCACGACCCACCA
Molecule: small RNA, 110 nt
Filed under: Salmonella enterica
Lineage: Bacteria; Pseudomonadati; Pseudomonadota; Gammaproteobacteria; Enterobacterales; Enterobacteriaceae
Also listed under: 1 other name
Description: partial RtT sRNA
Rfam family: RtT RNA
About the family: This family represents a bacterial cis-regulatory element known as RtT RNA.
Source: RNAcentral